AGAGUUUGAUCAUGGCUCAGGACGAACGCUUGCGGCGUGCCUAAGAAAUGCAAGUCGAGCGGACAUCUUCGGAUGUUAGCGGCGAACGGUCGCGUAACACGUAGGCAACCUGCCCCAAAGUGGGGGAUAACAGCCCGAAAGGGCUGCUAAUACCGCAUGUGGCCAACGGGAGGCAUCUCCUGUUGUCUAAAGCAGCAAUGCGCUUUGGGAUGGGCUUGCGGCCUAUCAGCUAGUUGGUGAGGUAAUGGCUCACCAAGGCGACGACGGGUAGCUGGUCUGAGAGGACGAUCAGCCGGAUUGGGACUGAGAUACGGCCCAGACUCCUACGGGGGGCAGCAAUUAGGAAUCUUGCGCAAUGGGGGAAACCCUGACGCAGCGACGCCGCGUGCGGGAUGAAGGCAUUCGUGUCGUAAACCGCUUUUGUCGGGGAAGAGAACGGACGGUACCCGACGAAUAAGCCCCGGCUAACUACGUGCCAGCAGCCGCGGUAAUACGUAGGGGGCGAGCGUUGUCCGAAGUUACUGGGCGUAAAGCGCGCGUAGGCGGUCCCUUAAGUCUGACGUGAAAGGUUCAGCGCUCAACGUGAACAGUGCGUUGGAUACUGGGGGACUUGAGUGCGGGAGGGGAGAGCGGAAUUCCUGGUGUAGCGGUGAAAUGCGUAGAUAUCAGGAGGAACACCGAUGGCGAAGGCAGCUCUCUGGCCUGUAACUGACGCUGAGGUGCGAAAGCGUGGGGAGCGAACAGGAUUAGAUACCCUGGUAGUCCACGCCGUAAACGAUGAGUGCUAGGUGUCAGGGGUA
This 800-nucleotide ribosomal RNA is filed under the name uncultured bacterium. Its description in RNAcentral is "bacterial SSU rRNA". It matches the Rfam family "Bacterial small subunit ribosomal RNA", at positions 8 to 831 of the family's 1533-position model. The record is from RNAcentral.